Molecule: long non-coding RNA, 449 nt
Filed under: Lactuca sativa (garden lettuce)
Lineage: Eukaryota; Viridiplantae; Streptophyta; Magnoliopsida; Asterales; Asteraceae
Description: long non-coding RNA (LSAT_LNC003766)
Source: RNAcentral
AAUUUCGUCGUAUUUUUUGCCAAUUCCUCCACCUGUAGAGGCUAGGGCCAUGGUGAGGGCGGCAGUGAGUGUAGUCUUGCCAUGGUCGACAUGGCCGAUAGUUCCGAUGUUGACAUGGGGUUUAGUUCGCUCGAAUUUCCCCCGAGCAGCGCGUACGGUGAGAGAGCGGCGGCGGUGAGAAGCGUUGGCGGAGGAUGAAGAAGGGUUGUGGAGGAAAAGGUUUGUGGAAGAUUUAGAGACAAACGAAGAAGAAAGCAGUAUUCUGGUGGUGGGUUUCUGAAGGGUAAAAAGAGGGGACGAAGAAGAAGAAGAUGAGGAAGGCGUGGCGUAUGUAAAUGAAGCUGCAGCGGUGGCUGCGGCGGAGAUGGACGCCAUUUACAGAGGGCAAGAAGAUAGGAUUUGGGGAAGAAGAUGGAUAGGGUGAAUGUGUGUGGCUAGACGAAUGGGGG